GGCCCGUUGGUCUAGUCAGGCCGAGGACGCCCGGUUCUCAUCCGGGAGGGCACCGGUUCGAAUCCGGUACGGGCUACUA
Molecule: transfer RNA, 79 nt
Filed under: Actinomadura craniellae
Lineage: Bacteria; Bacillati; Actinomycetota; Actinomycetes; Streptosporangiales; Thermomonosporaceae
Description: Actinomadura sp. LHW63021 tRNA-Glu
Rfam family: tRNA
About the family: Transfer RNA (tRNA) molecules are approximately 80 nucleotides in length. Their secondary structure includes four short double-helical elements and three loops (D, anti-codon, and T loops).
Source: RNAcentral